UACGGAGGGGGCUAGCGUUGUUCGGAAUUACUGGGCGUAAAGCGCACGUAGGCGGAUUGGAAAGUUGGGGGUGAAAUCCCGGGGCUCAACCUCGGAACUGCCUCCAAAACUAUCAGUCUGGAGGUCGAGAGAGGUGAGUGGAAUUCCGAGUGUAGAGGUGAAAUUCGUAGAUAUUCGGAGGAACACCAGUGGCGAAGGCGUCUCACUGGCUCGAUAGUGACACUGAGGUGUGAAAGCGUGGGGAUCAAACAGG
This 253-nucleotide unclassified non-coding RNA is filed under the name uncultured Rhodobacterales bacterium. RNAcentral describes it as "contains 16S-23S intergenic spacer region". It matches the Rfam family "Bacterial small subunit ribosomal RNA", at positions 524 to 776 of the family's 1533-position model. Lineage: Bacteria; Pseudomonadati; Pseudomonadota; Alphaproteobacteria; Rhodobacterales. The record is from RNAcentral.